Molecule: ribosomal RNA, 385 nt
Filed under: uncultured bacterium
Lineage: Bacteria
Description: bacterial SSU rRNA
Rfam family: Bacterial small subunit ribosomal RNA
Source: RNAcentral
AUUGAACGCUGGCGGAAUGCUUUACACAUGCAAGUCGAGCGGCAGCGCGGGGCAACCUGGCGGCGAGCGGCGAACGGGUGAGUAAUGCAUCGGAACAUGUCCAUUCGUGGGGGAUAGCCCGGCGAAAGCCGGAUUAAUACCGCAUACGCCCGAGAGGGGAAAGUGGGGACCGCAAGGCCUCACGCGAUUGGGUUGGCCGAAUGCCCGAUUAGCUAGUUGGCGGGGUAAGAGCCCACCAAGGCGAUGAUCGGUAGCUGGUCUGAGAGGAUGAUCAGCCACACUGGGACUGAGACACGGCCCAGACUCCUACGGGAGGCAGCAGUGGGGAAUCUUGCGCAAUGCGCGAAAGCGUGACGCAGCAACGCCGCGUGGGGGAAGAAGGCCU